CUUUUGUGGGUGAAGCUUUUGUGAUAGGGGAAGCUUUUGUGGGUGAAGCUUUUGUUGGUGAAGCUUUUAUGGGUGAAGCUUUUGUAGGUGAAGCUAUUGUGGGUGAAGCUUUUGUAGGUGAAGCUUUUGUUGGUGAAGCUUUUAUGGUGGGUGAAGCUUUUGUAGGUGAAGCUAUUGUGGGUGAAGCUUUGGAGUUGAAGCUUUUGUUGGGUACCAUGAAUUGAUUUUGCUUCACACUAUCUUGAUGAAGAUAGUGUGAAGCUUUUGAGAAUUUGUAGUUGUCCUCCAUUGAUGAAGCUUUUGUUGGUGAAGCUUUUAUGGUGAAGCUUUGUUGGGUACCACGAAUUGAUUUUGCUUCACACUAUCUUGAUCAAGAUAGUGUGAAGAUUUUAAGAAUUUGUAGUUGUCCUCCAUUGAUGAAGCUUUUGUUGGUGAAGGUUUGGAGUUGAAGCUUUUGUUGGGUACCAUGAAUUGAUUUUGCUUCACACUAUCUUGAUCAAGAUAGUGUGAAGCUUUUGAGAAUUUGUAGUUGAACUCCUUUGAUGAAGCUUUUGUUGGCACCAUAAAUUGGUUUUGCUUCACACUGUCUUGAUUAAGAGUGUGUGAAG
This 608-nucleotide long non-coding RNA is filed under the name Malus domestica (apple). Its description in RNAcentral is "long non-coding RNA (MDOM_LNC015183)". The record is from RNAcentral. Lineage: Eukaryota; Viridiplantae; Streptophyta; Magnoliopsida; Rosales; Rosaceae.